RNAcentral lists this ribosomal RNA (426 nucleotides) under uncultured bacterium. RNAcentral describes it as "bacterial SSU rRNA". It matches the Rfam family "Bacterial small subunit ribosomal RNA", at positions 354 to 796 of the family's 1533-position model. The record is from RNAcentral.
GUGAGGAAUUUUCCGCAAUGGGCGAAAGCCUGACGGAGCAAUGCCGCGUGAAGGAUGAAGGCCUAUGGGUUGUAAACUUCUUUUCUCAGAAAAGAAUUAUGACGGUAUCUGAGGAAUAAGCAUCGGCUAACUCUGUGCCAGCAGCCGCGGUAAGACAGAGGAUGCAAGCGUUAUCCGGAAUGAUUGGGCGUAAAGCGUCUGUAGGUUGUUUAAAAAGUAUUCUGUCAAAGAUUAGGGCUUAACCCUAGAUAGGCAGAAUAAACUUUUAAGCUAGAGUUUGGUAGAGGCAGAGGGAAUUCCCGGUGGAGCGGUGAAAUGCGUAGAUAGCGGGAGGAACACCAAAGGCGAAGGCACUCUGCUGGGCCAAUACUAACACUGAGAGACGAAAGCGAGGGGAGCAAAUGGGAUUAGAAACCCGGGUAGUCC